GGGAGAUUGUUGAAAUUGAGCAGUGUCGACGCCGUAAAAAUGGCACCCCUUGUGCGAGUUGCCGGGAGUAUUCUCGUCCGCGAUCGACUUCUCACGGCGGUUAUCGCCGGAGCCUCCAGUCUUUCGUUCGUGGGAUCGGGAUUUAUAGUGCUCUGUUACGUCCUCUUCAAAGAACUUCGCAAGUUCUCCUACAAGCUCGUCUUCUAUCUUGCCCUAUCCGAUAUGCUUUGCAGUUUCUUCACUAUGAUAGGGGAUCCA
RNAcentral lists this unclassified non-coding RNA (258 nucleotides) under Hevea brasiliensis (rubber tree). Lineage: Eukaryota; Viridiplantae; Streptophyta; Magnoliopsida; Malpighiales; Euphorbiaceae. The record is from RNAcentral.